CAGUCGCCACGGUAACACGGAGGGUGCAAGCGUUAAUCGGAAUUACUGGGCGUAAAGCGCACGCAGGCGGUCUGUCAAGUCAGAUGUGAAAUCCCCGGGCUUAACCUGGGAACUGCAUUUGAAACUGGCAGGCUAGAGUCUUGUAGAGGGGGGUAGAAUUCCAGGUGUAGCGGUGAAAUGCGUAGAUAUGCGGAGGAACACCGAUGGCGAAGGCAGCCCCCUGGGCCAACACUGACGCUCAUGCACGAAAGCGUGGGGAGCAAACAGGAUUAGAUACCCCUGUAGUCCCUGUCUCUUAUAC
Molecule: ribosomal RNA, 301 nt
Filed under: uncultured bacterium
Lineage: Bacteria
Description: partial 16S ribosomal RNA
Rfam family: Bacterial small subunit ribosomal RNA
Source: RNAcentral